UGGAGUAAGUUAUUCAAAGAUAACUUAUUUGAUAUAAGAAUUUUUUAGUGUAAUUGUAAGGAAAGAGUUUGAUCAUUGCUUCUUGAAAGCUUUCGAUAUCUAUAAUUUGAUAUGAUAGUAUUUUUUAUCUAUGUGGUGAUUUAUCUUAUCCAAAAAAAUAACUUUAAAGCUGAAUAUAUAUAAUAUUUAUACUAGACAUUUGAUCACACUCUUCAUCAACCAAAUGUACAAGCUUCUCAAGUAAGUCAAAGAGAUGUAACGAACAAGAUUCGUACAUCCAAAUCGGACCAAAGAGUAAAUUACACUUUUGGCUUGCAAACUAUGCGAUGCGUGGCGGUAGGUCCUUAAACUUUUAUUUAUUUCAAUUUCUGACUUGAAUUUUCUAAAUUGUUGCAAGUCAAGUCCCAACGUCCAAUUUAGUCAAGCUAAAUAUUGACAAAUUAUGAUGUAAAAAUAAUGUGAAAAUAUUGGAUUGAUGAUGCGACAAUAAUUAAAUGUUACAUCAUUUAUAAUCAAUAAUUUUUUAAUAUUUAACCAACUAAAUUGGAUUAUAAUAAAUUAUAACAAUUCAAAAAAUUCAAAUAAGAAAUUAUAAUAAAUUAAAGUUAAGGGAGGUCACCCAUCCUAAAACU
RNAcentral lists this long non-coding RNA (632 nucleotides) under Ananas comosus (pineapple). RNAcentral's name for it is "long non-coding RNA (ACOM_LNC030698)". The record is from RNAcentral. Lineage: Eukaryota; Viridiplantae; Streptophyta; Magnoliopsida; Poales; Bromeliaceae.